Molecule: long non-coding RNA, 297 nt
Filed under: Elaeis guineensis (African oil palm)
Lineage: Eukaryota; Viridiplantae; Streptophyta; Magnoliopsida; Arecales; Arecaceae
Description: long non-coding RNA (EGUI_LNC040506)
Source: RNAcentral
AACCCCCCCGACCAUCCGAGCUUCCGGACUUCUUCGACAAUGAGCUUCUCCAUCCAUCUACCGUGCCGUUUUAAAGGCUCUCUAGGCCUCACUGUCAGCCGACCUUCUACAGUGAUCAACUAUUCUCCGAACUCCUUCCGGACUUCAUCAAUAUCCGAGCUUCUUCGACAACGAGAUUUCUAUAGAGAUCGGACUCCAUCCAAGUUUCUACGAGCGGUCUACUCCGAACUCCUACAGUGGGUAGUCUACUCUGAACUCCUACAGCGAGCGGUCUACUCCGAACUCCUACAGCGGGCG